RNAcentral lists this long non-coding RNA (546 nucleotides) under Bos indicus x Bos taurus (hybrid cattle). RNAcentral's name for it is "lncRNA (ENSBIXG00005017946.1)". The record is from RNAcentral. Lineage: Eukaryota; Metazoa; Chordata; Mammalia; Artiodactyla; Bovidae.
UGUAUUUUUUUGUUUGUUUGUUUAAAUAAAUAAAAAAAAAUUUAAAAGCUAGUGCUUAGUAGAGGUUGGAAGGAAGCAUAAUGAGGUGGGUCACAUUUCACAUAGGAGAGAUGCUGCAGAGCAAAGAGCAGCGUGUAUUUAUAGCAUGGACCUAAAAACAGGAUGAUGGCUGCUGAUGGGGAGGGAAACAGGAAAAAGAAAAGUCAUAAGAAGUGUGGUCUCUUAGGAUCCAUCUCCCAUGAUUCAAGAAGUGUAACCUGCCCGCUGAGAAUCUCCCCUGGACAGGAAUUUGCCAGCCAUGGGAUGGGGCCAUCUUGGAAGUGGAUCCUUCAGCCUUAGUCCAGCUGACAUCUAGUGGAGCAGAGAUGAAUUGUCCCCACCGGGCUCUGGCCAAAUGAUAGAUUGGUGAGUAAAAUAAUGAAUUGUUUUAAAGUAGUUAGUUUUGAAGUGAUUUGUUAUAUAGAAAUAUAGAUAACUGAACUAUUUCCCUUGAAUAGGAGCUGGCUGGCCAAUAAAAUGUUGAAGAGGUGAUGUUUAGCUUAUACC